This is a non-coding RNA of Methylomicrobium album BG8, 28 nucleotides long. The record is from Rfam. Lineage: Bacteria; Pseudomonadati; Pseudomonadota; Gammaproteobacteria; Methylococcales; Methylococcaceae.
GUUCACUGCCGUACAGGUAGCUUAGAAA